GUUGUUUCUUUUUAGAUAAAGACGUAUACUUAUUGACUGGUGGAAGCAGUGAAUCAGAGAAAUAAUCAUUGUUUUGCUUCAUGCAAGGGUCAAAGAGCGGCUCAUUUAGAGAGAGAUGGAAUCAAGCACAUUUUUAUGUUUUGAGCUCCAACUUGUGGUUCUCAAAAAAUACCCUGAGCUCUCUUGUCUAAUAUUUUUUGUCUGUUCUGAAUCUUGUGUGUGCAUUGAUUUAUUUUUCAUAACCACUUCUAUGUGAGUCAAAUAAUAUGUAGGAUUCCCUAACAGGAAAACGUUGUAUAUGUCAAUGUCCACUUGGCUAAAACAAAGGUGUCUGUAGAUAGUUGGGCUAAAGCUAGCUGCUAACAGCUAAAGCUCGUUGUGCACACGGUCAAGCGCACCGAACACACCGCUGCUGUCUCCCACUGGAACACGUCGCCCACCAGCGUUCACCAAGACUACUUUCAGCAAUGAUGCAGAGAGCACAGGGAGAGGCGAAACACCAGAUCGAAUAGAGAGAGGAUAAUGGCUGAUGAGAGAACAAAAUCAUGACAGUGGAGAACCAAAGAGUGGAGAAGAGGAAAGGGGAGGAAAUGAAAGAAGACCAACAGAGAAUGAAGAAACAGAGAAAGGGGAGACGGAGAAAGAUGAAAUAGAGGGAGUAAGAGAAGAAACGGGCUGGAGAGUGGAGAAUCUGAAUUAGAAUCUGAAGUAGAGGGAGAUACAGAGGAAGAAGAAUCUGAGACUGAAGACCGAGUGAGAGGAGAAAUAGAGAGCAGAUGCCACCCACAUAUCUGGACAGAUAACAUAAUGCAAUAUAGCCAGGACAGCCUUACAGAGUCUCAACGCUUUGUGUUGCGUUGCUUCGCAUCGCGUUGCAUCGCGUCGAGGUCUGUAUGAUCACAAAAUUCAGAGUUUACCCACCUCUAAUUUUACCACUACAGCACUGGCGAAAAGUGGUCGGUGGUAGGUUCUUCCGGUGGUCGGUGGACGGUUCCUUUGUCCGGACAGCAGGUUCCGGUGGUCGGUGGCAGGUUGCACCCUGGACAAACCGACCACUAGAAAUGGGUUAUUUAGCAUGCGCGGUCGAUACAUAUGUCCCUUUAUUUUUUUAGCAUUGGCAUGCGUCGCCAGCGCCCUACGCUGUGAACGGCAGCUCGCCACAACCUCGCCAGCGUCCUAUGAUGUGAACGGCAGGUCACAUGAACCGUCGCCACCUUCCUUCAUGAUGAAAUUGCACUUUUAUGUUCAUGAUGAAUUGAAGAGUAAGGCAAAUAGCAUUAAAUAGUAAAUAUUAGAGCAUGGUUACUGAAUGACAAACAAAAUUUGUUAUAUUUUACAACUGUGCGGAGUCUGUGAGUUUGGGGACCUAUGACUAUAUCCUCUGGAGUCGGGAGUGGGUCAGAUAUGGCAAUGUCCAGGUUUUUCUAAAAUGUUAUAUACACAUUACAAUUUUAAUCAAUGUAACUUCUAAAUUUAAAUAACUGCUGUCUCCCACUGUACUAGACUGCGGAAAGGAUUUUUAUGCCAAGGCUGGUCGGUCACCAGAAUCCUGAGACGGGAAACCACUUCAUCCUUUGAGUGACGAAACUUCACAGCACGUCAACAGAUACAGGCCAGGGUUAACAAACAACAAUAACCUAAUGAUAACGCAUAACUAACAAAUGUGAAGACUAAAGUAACAUUACCAGGAGCAAUCGUUUAUCAGUUUCUGUGGUAAUUUUUAGCAACAUGCAACAAAGUAUAAAUAUCUUCAAUUUGUAAAAAAAAAAUUGUGUUUAUAAAUUAAAAGAAAAGCAAUAUUCACUUCAGUGGAGUAACUUGAAUUGUUAGACAGGCGUGUUUAAAAUCAAUUUAAAAUGUAUUUGCAUAAGGUCAUCACUGGAUGACAUUUCUGUAACAAAAAUACUUUGGCUAAUACAGUUAUCAUUGUGCAUGCGGAAUACAUUCAUUAUUAUAUGGCAGAUUAUGGUAUUCUUCAUUCAUCAUUUCAUCACUGGUCCAAUAGGUACUUGACUUCAAAAAGGAGGAGAUAUGAGUGUAUGACUCUCUGAGGAUCAGCACCACCAUACCGGAUGAGGCCAUGAAUAUUCUGAGGUGAAAAAGUGUAAUACACAAUUGAGACAUGCUAUUAUAAACACCUGAAAUGAAUUUUCACAGUGAUAUCGUUUUUCUUAAAAGAAAUUUUUCAGGGAACAGGGAGGUCUUGCGGAAUGGAAUGUGUGUUUCACAAAACAAUGGAGGCAGAGAGACAACAAUAACUGCGCUAUUUUUGUGUGCUCAGUAAGUCAGCAUGCAAAGUUGUAAAAUUAGCUUUCAACAAUAUUUUUAAAAACACACAAUGUUAAAAAAUAUUGUGUGAUUUUUGUAUUAUAUUAUUUCAAAAAGGCAGCUGAGAAUGAGGUGAAAAACCGAGAUGUCAUCCUCAACCAGUGCCAAACUCUCUCCAAGAUGAUAGCAGGGCUUAGCAUUGAGGUAUACAAGGUAUACAAGGAGACUGGACCACGAAAGACUUCCUUUGUGGGUGUCAUCGAGACCCUGGUACAUAUCUGUAAGUAUACACUUGCAUAGUGUAUAAUUACUUUAUAACACUGGCUUUAGUAAUGGAUGGUUUUAAUUUUUAAAGGGCAAAAGAGAUACUAGAGUCCACUCAGGUGGACAGUAUUUUAACGGAUCAAGAGAUUGAGGUAAUGACUUUACCUUUGUUCAUUUUGUUUUCUGGUCUAAAACAGAAUUUAUUUAUUGAUUAACUGCGGCAUGUUCGUUUAAGUAAGUUGUCUAUGACUGACAUACAUGUUUGACAAUGAUGACACUAUAAUUUAUUCAGAGUCUGGAGCAAGAUCUGAUGAAAAGAAACAUUCUGUCAAACAGAAUGUAUCUUUAUAAAAAUAAAGGGUGCGAUCGCAAUUUGGAGGCAUUCUAUGCUGACCACCUGUCAGUUUUCGAUGAUCUUAAGGUUAGAUUUACAUUAGCAUUUUAUUUUAAUAUGUGUACACUGUGAUGAAAAUUGGUGGAUAAUGUCCAAUCCUAUUUUAUUUUAAAGCAAUGGUGUUUCAUAGUAUCCAUAAAAUGCAAAUUCAAAGUCAACCUUGAUAUGAAUAAGUCUUUAAUAAAAUUUCAGACUGCACAACUAGCAGGAAUACUGAAAUACAUUGUGGGUAAAAAAGAGCCUGCAGUGGAUAGCGAUACCUAUAUCAAUCAUGUCAUCCUGCCAGAGGUAAGUUGAAACAAAACAAGUAAUAAUUCAAUAUAUUUUACCCAUGGAUUUAAUUACAUUAUGACAGAAUACAGCAUGACCUUAAAAAUGAACGGCAAAUUUAUUUCAGGUAAACAUUGAGUGGCUGAGGCAGAAAUUCUGCAUAUCCAGAUACGAAGCUGGAUGUAUUCUACUCAGCGUAACCAAGACUUAUGUAUAAGCAAAAUUUACCGCAUUAGUAACUGAGAAAUUAAGAUUGCAGUGACAAUUUAAUCAUUCCAAAGUCGUUCUUCUGUGAUGUUUUGGCAAUUAGCCGUAUGAAGAGGAAUUGUCAAACCUUCAUAAAAGAUGUUUCAGCCUUAUGACAUUUCACAUUAAUACAUUUAUACAUCUUUAUAUUUAAAAAUACAUUUUUAAUUAGAACACCUGCAUAUACAUGAAAAGGCAAGACCAAAAUGAUAGUGUCCAACAAAUAUUGAUUGAAUUAUUCUAACAAAUGUUAUAGAAAUGAUUCCAUAACAUGAGAUGGUCACUUUGAGGUUUCACAAAACAAUUUACAGCAGUAUAAGUUAGAACGCAAGAUACAUAGCAGAAAUUUAAACAAAGUCAAGAACUAAAAUUAAAAUAAGCUGUAAUAGGAUAUAGCCCAAAAUAAUACACAAUAACUAAAUUAUUAAUGUGGCCUAUAAACAGACAUAUAUUGUUUAAACUGUUAUUGCAAAGUGUAUUUAUACUGAAAAGAUUUAGAAGUUCUACAAUAUGCACGUUUUCAACAUUAUACUUAAAUUUAUUAUUAAUGCUGCUAAAGCUUUAAUUAAAAAGGAAAAAAAAUUGAAUGCAUUUUCAAUGAAUGACCGGGUUCACCAUGACUCGUCUGAACCCCUGUGUGGGCAGCAGCCAAUGGAGCAGACCGUGAAAACAACACACAUGGAAGCGGUAAAUUGUUUUUCAAUGUUAAUAUAUUUACAAUAAUUGCUGUUUAUAUUGACAUCCACAGACAUCAUGUUGCUACCAGAUGACUAUAUUGUAGAAGUAAAGAAAUAAAAUAAGAAACUUAUUACGGAAUGAUUUCAAACCAAUACUGUUUUUUUCAAAAUAUUUUUCAUAAUGUUACUAUACAGCUCAGUGUGGAACUGUUGGAGGCCAUUUUUGUCGAGGCAGUUCUGCUUGAUGGGGACAAAAUGAUCGGGUCAUUGGCACUAGUGUCCAAAAGAUGGAAGGCUAUUGUCUCUACUGAAGAGUUUCGGAGGAAAGCCUACUAUCGAUGGCUGAAAAGUAAGUAACCAUGUAGAGUAUCUUGGCUUAUCUACUUUUGUGUUCAUUUUUACUUUUACUUUACUUAUGUGUGUGUGGAGAUGGGGGGGGGGGAUCUUAAAAAUAUUUGAUAGUUGAGACAAGAGUCGUUUCCUUGUUUUACCCACAGACAUAUUAGUUAAUGUUGACAAUCAAAUAUUAAAUUAUGAAUUGAAAUGUAUACACGACCCCUCCUGGCAGGAAAGGGACACUGUGACUGAAGACCCCAUCAAUGAGGUAAAAUGUGGUGGUAUUAGUCUAAUUUAGAACCCGCAUUUUCAUGAGGUCAAAGGGGGAAUACACUGAUAUGGAUCCUUUAUAAGUUGGUGGAAAAUUGUUAAGGAUUGAAUAAGACUGACCUAACGUUCAUAGAUGUAGAUGUAAUCACAGAGAUUGACAGGCCGUGCAUAUGACCAGAACAGACUGACAGGUCGUUCAUUACAUUAGCUGACACUUUUAUCCAAAGCGACUAAGACUAAGUGCAUUUCAAACAUAAGGAUACAAACUCAACAUAAACAUAAAAGUGCGAUUUCAGGUGGCGGCGGUUCAUGUGACCGGCUGUUCGCAGCGUAGGACGCUGGCGAUAAUCAAAGAGGCAGGGCGACGCUAAAACAAUAAAGGGACAUAUGUAUCGACCGCGCAUGCUAAAUAACCCCUUUUUCUAGUGGUCGAGUGAACAGUUUGUCC
Long non-coding RNA from Gasterosteus aculeatus aculeatus (three-spined stickleback), 5173 nucleotides. The record is from Ensembl. Lineage: Eukaryota; Metazoa; Chordata; Actinopteri; Perciformes; Gasterosteidae.